RNAcentral lists this long non-coding RNA (253 nucleotides) under Gossypium raimondii (Peruvian cotton). RNAcentral describes it as "long non-coding RNA (GRAI_LNC000174)". The record is from RNAcentral. Lineage: Eukaryota; Viridiplantae; Streptophyta; Magnoliopsida; Malvales; Malvaceae.
CUUUCCUUUUCGACACGUAUUUGCCGCUGCCUCUCCUCUGGCAUCAGUAAAUACGGCUUGCCAUAGAUUCUAAACCAUGGCAUGUAUUCUGGAACGCACGCUAACUCUGGAACGAUGAUUAGUUCCCGAGUAGGUAGAUAUUCAUACUGAUCUUUCCAUAUUUCCAUGUACUCAGACCAGUAUCUCGUCCAAUCCGUAUUUAAUUGCCGAAGGUCGACUUUGUGUUGAUCGUCAAACACCUCAGGAUCCACCG